UACGGAGGGUGCAAGCGUUGUCCGGAUUUAUUGGGUUUAAAGGGUGCGUAGGUGGCCCGUUAAGUCCGGGGUGAAAGCCCACUGCUCAACAGUGGAACUGCCCUGGAUACUGACGGGCUUGAGUCCAGACGAGGUUGGCGGAAUGGAUGGUGUAGCGGUGAAAUGCAUAGAUACCAUCCAGAACCCCGAUUGCGUAGGCAGCUGACUAGGCUGGUACUGACACUGAGGCACGAAAGCGUGGGGAGCAAACAGG
Molecule: ribosomal RNA, 253 nt
Filed under: uncultured bacterium
Lineage: Bacteria
Description: partial 16S ribosomal RNA
Rfam family: Bacterial small subunit ribosomal RNA
Source: RNAcentral